AACAAACGCUGGCGGCGUGCCUAACACAUGCAAGUCGAACGCGAAAAUCGGCUUCGGCCGAUGAGUAAAGUGGCGCACGGGUGAGUAACGCGUGGAUAAUCUACCCUUCAGUUGGGAAUAACUUAUCGAAAGGUGAGCUAAUACCGAAUAAAACUGCCUGACCACGGUCGGGUAGUCAAAGAUAGCCUCUGCUUGCAAGCUUUCGCUGAAUGAUGAGUCCGCGUACCAUUAGCUAGUUGGUGGGGUAAUGGCCUACCAAGGCGACGAUGGUUAGCUGGUCUGAGAGGAUGAUCAGCCACACUGGAACUGAGACACGGUCCAGACUCCUACGGGAGGCAGCAGUGAGGAAUCUUGCGCAAUGGGGAAACCCUGACGCAGCAACGCCGCGUGAGUGAGGAAGGUCUUCGGGAUCGUAAAGCUCUGUCGGGUGGAAAGAAUGUAUGGGGUUAAUAGCCUUCAUACUUGACGGUACACCAAAGGAGCACGGCUAACUCCG
Molecule: ribosomal RNA, 496 nt
Filed under: uncultured bacterium
Lineage: Bacteria
Description: bacterial SSU rRNA
Rfam family: Bacterial small subunit ribosomal RNA
Source: RNAcentral